CUGGAAUGUAUUCCUGAAACGGUCAAUAUGUUCUCUCUGCAGUUUUUUCUGGUCUUGUUUUCCUUUAGUAAUUUUGGCUGGAAUUGUAGGAUUUCAUAGUACUCCUCAUCUGAUAUAUUUUACAGAGAUUUAAUAAUAGAGGAAUCCAAGUUGGGGAAGAUGAGCUGAAGAGAUGUCAAGACAGUUCUUAGCCUGUAUUAAAGGAUCAGCAAAGAAAUCAUCAUUGAAUGGUCUCAGAGGUGCCGAAGAGUAUUGCUCCUGAAAUCUCCUCCAUCCAUGGCUGAAAUUUAAAGGCUGUGAAACACCGGGAAAUCUAGUCAUGCAAAUGACUCCAGAACAUAGCCCCUGAAAUAGCCUUCUGCCUGGGAAAGAACUGGGUUAUUAAUUUACAUGCUGUAUUUGGUACUAAAAUGGAGUUUUGAAAUAAUGUUUGAUUGGAAGACAGAAGAUGACAGCCUGUGUCAGACAAAUGAUUCUGUGUCACCAGAGAACGAGGUUACUGUUAGUACUUGACUGUCAAUACUUACCCAAAAUGCUGCAGAACUCCACUUUUCUUCACGCUGACUGUAACACAGCAGUCCUAUUUUCAUACUGAAAUCUGAAUCAUGUUGCUUCUUCAUAUGCUGAGAUUUAAGGAGCAUCAAGACCAUAAGAACAGACUUGUGAUUUGACAAACUGAGUUCAAACUCCCAUCGGUCAGCCAAGCAGCUGGGUAUCCUUGGAGAAUUACUUACCUUCUCAAAGCCUCUGGUUCCAUGAUUACAAAUAGCUAAAUCCUCACCGCAGCUACUUUGGGAUUAAUCCUAUAAAAGAAUUUUGACAAGUCAUGUGAAGAAACACAUUUUUUUUCCUGUAAAUAAACCACCAAAAAUCCACCACAACAUACUGGAGAAAUACAGAUUUGCAGUGCCAGCUACUUAUUCUUCAAGGGACCAGCAUCAACAUGGGUCUGAGGAGCUUGGGGAUGUUCUUCCAGAGAGACUGAACUUCAUGCAGAACUGUACAAAGUGAGAGCCAGAUACAACGCUGGUGAAGAAUUCUGUUCCAGCACAAAGAACAAAAAAGGAAGAAAAGAGAUUGUUUCUAUUUGUUGCUGGAGACUACAGGUAGUAUGUAUGUGGGAGGAAUAAAAAUCCUGCAGACUGAUAAAAAGGCUCAGUGCUACGGACCUUCU
RNAcentral lists this long non-coding RNA (1174 nucleotides) under Equus asinus (donkey). Its description in RNAcentral is "lncRNA (ENSEASG00005026379.1)". The record is from RNAcentral. Lineage: Eukaryota; Metazoa; Chordata; Mammalia; Perissodactyla; Equidae.